This 21-nucleotide non-coding RNA is filed under the name Arabidopsis thaliana (thale cress). Lineage: Eukaryota; Viridiplantae; Streptophyta; Magnoliopsida; Brassicales; Brassicaceae. The record is from RNAcentral.
UGUAAUGGGGCCGCUUUGUGC